RNAcentral lists this ribosomal RNA (515 nucleotides) under uncultured bacterium. Its description in RNAcentral is "partial 16S ribosomal RNA". It matches the Rfam family "Bacterial small subunit ribosomal RNA", at positions 28 to 523 of the family's 1533-position model. The record is from RNAcentral.
GAUGAACGCUGGCGGCGUGCCUAAUACAUGCAAGUCGAGCGAAUGGAUUGAGAGCUUGCUCUCAAGAAGUUAGCGGCGGACGGGUGAGUAACACGUGGGUAACCUGCCCAUAAGACUGGGAUAACUCCGGGAAACCGGGGCUAAUACCGGAUAACAUUUUGAACUGCAUGGUUCGAAAUUGAAAGGCGGCUUCGGCUGUCACUUAUGGAUGGACCCGCGUCGCAUUAGCUAGUUGGUGAGGUAACGGCUCACCAAGGCAACGAUGCGUAGCCGACCUGAGAGGGUGAUCGGCCACACUGGGACUGAGACACGGCCCAGACUCCUACGGGAGGCAGCAGUAGGGAAUCUUCCGCAAUGGACGAAAGUCUGACGGAGCAACGCCGCGUGAGUGAUGAAGGCUUUCGGGUCGUAAAACUCUGUUGUUAGGGAAGAACAAGUGCUAGUUGAAUAAGCUGGCACCUUGACGGUACCUAACCAGAAAGCCACGGCUAACUACGUGCCAGCAGCCGCCGUAA